AUGCAACUCCGAACUCGGCCUUUCGUCUGGAGAGAUAGAAGAUUCCAUGUUCACAUCUGAGGUCACGGAAGAUUCAACACCCUCUGCUGGAAGAUUGCGAAAUGCUGAAGGUGCAUGGUGCUUCAACAACGAAUCCAUUUCAUCCCAAACCGCCAUCCUUACAGUGAACUUAGGUCGACAAACAUUCGUGACUGGAUUCGCAUCCCAAGGUCCUCCAGAAGGACUCAGACCGAAGAAUUAUAACCACGUGAUUGGUUUCUCUGCCUCUUACAGCCUAAAUGGAGAACAAUGGAGUGAAUUCAACGCUGGCAAUCUAUUCUUCGACAAUGCUGAUAAAAACGCCACAAGAGAUGUUAUUAACUAUCACGUGAGCAGCAGCAUAGAGUUAACUCAAUAUGUGAAAAUAAAUGUUACCAUGCUCAUCUCUGGUGCCACAGACAUCUGCCUGAGAUUUGAGUUUUAUGGCUGUGGUACAGACAUUCAGCCUGUCACUAAUGUAAAGGCCAUGACAACAUCCAAAGGUCAGAUAGAAGUGAGUUGGAAAGAACCUACUGCUGAUACUUCUCUGGAAGAAGGCGUUCUUAGCACCGGUAUCUUGAAACCAAAUGGUUACCUAGUAUUCUACCAAUCAGUGGAAUCACGAAGUCCACUUUCGUCAUUGAACAACCAACCAGAAGAUUUGCAAAGCUUUCUUAGUACAAUGACAACAGACAGGACACUUUCUUUAGAAGAUGUCCGUCUGGGCGCUACCUACCACAUAAUAUUACGAUGCAUCGUUAAGGAUUUCAAGAUAGAUUGUGGCUGGAGGAAUAUUGAAGCCUAUCCACCAUGCCCGGAAGGCUGGACUGGUGGAAACGAAUACCAUUGCUUUCUAUAUAUUACUCCAGUUACAACAUACUCUGAAGCAAGAGACACAUGUGCCAAACAGGAUACAGAUCAAGAACUUGGUAAAUUAGGAACACUAGUUGACGACGACGAAAAAGAUUUUCUUACUUCUCGAAUACUUCCCGAAUAUGAUGUCCGACAACUCUGGUUCGUUAAAAAGGGAUGUGAUGAACAGGAACUUGGAAAGUAUAUUCGAUCUGAGGAAGAAUGCUGUAGUCUGCUAAAUGUCUUAGACGAUGGCUCAAUCCAAGAAACGAGUUGCGGAAGUGAUGACUCACCCUCAUCUGCAGUAUGCUUAUGGGAUCAUAAAGGUGAAGGGGCUAGAAUUCGAGUUUCUGCUGUUGAAUCGUCCGAAGAUGGAGUAAGAGCAAGUAUCAAAUGGCGAUACGAAGGUAAGGGUUGGAAGACAGACGAACUCCAAGCUAAAUUAUGGACAGAAGAAGGUAGAGAGGAUAUCCUGACUUAUUCGACUCUGAAAAAUGUUUUUGAAAUAAUUGACUUAAAACCUGGUGUAACUUACUCAUUGCUGCUUCGGCCUGCUCCUAACAUUAGAACCGAGGAGUUUACUUAUAAAUUUGUCAUAAUUCAGUUUGAAGAGGAAGCUGUCAGUUAUGGCGCCCUUCUUACACCAGUCCCUAUGUCAAUCUAUGUGAUUGGCUCCGGAUUCUUAAAACUGAAGUGGGAAAAUGCCAAAACUUUAUCCGCAAGUGGACAAAUAAGAGAAGCAAGUAAAUAUUCGAUCACUCACCAGAGGGCAAAUCAAGAUACAAAAACUGUCGAAGUUACUGAGGAAGAAUUUCUACUGACACCUUUGGCAAUGAGAGAAAAGUACUCAUUUGAACUAACGUGCUAUUUCGCCAACACUUUUUACGUUUGUGGUUCUAUCUCAAUUACUACAGAUGUUCCAGAUUAUUUCAAACGUCAGUUUUCUGGAUCUUACACCUUAUAUGAAACAUUCGAAAACAUCGGAAAGAAUUGGGCUGAAGCGGAGAGUGACUGUCUUGAAAGAUCUGGCCAUUUAACAAGCGUGUUAGACGAAAGCGAGGCGAAGAUAUUGUUACAAAUCUUACCUUACAAAGAUGUCAAAGUGUGGACAGGCGCUAAAAUCGGUCGGAAAGGUUCCGGAUUCUGGACAGAUGGACAGAAAAUCACUUAUUUACCCAUGGCUAAGACUUCGGGAGUGACAUCAUCUUCGGAGUCUUGUUGCAGGGCUUUGAAUGAAGCUGGAAAACUUCGACUUGCUGGAACAAAUUGUGAGGAUGAGAAUCCGUAUAUAUGCAAGUAUUCUUUUAAAGAAAUCCUUGCUGUUCCCGUUCUUCUGACUGCAAAAGCUCAAGCUUGGGAUUCUGUACAAGUGUUGUGGAAUAGGCCUGAAGAGUACUGGUUACCUACAUAUUACAAUGUCCUUUUAUGCUCAGAAAACUCUAAACCAGCUUGCAAUGAAAAUCGCAAACUCAAAGACGAGCUGAUUGUUGUUGAAGGUUUACAAGAAUAUACGAUAUACAAAGUCACAGUUGAAGCUUUAUUAGAGGCUUUGGAUGCCAAAACGGUUGCAGAGACUACGGUUAUGACUUAUCCGAAGUCUCCCGUCCGAUUCGUUAUUUCCUCUGAGGGUGUGAUCAAAGUGCAGACACCCAUGAUGGUAGCUUUGGGAAAAGCAGGUGAACCUGUCAAAGUUAUAAUAUAUCAAUCAUCUACUUCGGUGGCGACAGCCUUGGGAGAUGUUUCUGAAGUGCAGCUAACUAAACUAAUACCAGAAGAGAGUUACGAAAUGCUGGUUCAGCAAGAUGGAGGAGAUUGGGAGUACAGAAUGACUUUCAAUGCAGUUCCCACCUGUAUUCAAGAAGACCUGCGGAUGGGCAUUCUCUGCUACCGCUUAGAGCCUGAUAUCAAAAGUUUUGAUUCUGCCAAAGCUUUUUGCAAUGGGGAAAAGAUGAACAUCUGGAGUCCUGAUUCAGUUUAUGAGUUAGAAAAUGUUGCUAAAAAUUUAGAACUCACUUCAGGAUUUUGGAUUGAAAAACCAUCUUCAGAUGCUUUGUCUGGAAUUAAAACUGAUGAAUCAUGUUCUAAAAGUAACAGUGAUGCCAGAUGUUGCUCUUAUAAUAUGGAGAUUUUAGCUGUGACAUGUUCUUGUUGUGACACAGAACAAGCAGUUAUAUGUGUUUAUGAAGUGAAAGCUAAUUUAGGGCAAGUGUCAAACCUUCUACCAUCCUUCAUCGGAAAUACGUCGAUACAAGUAGAAUGGUCUGCUCCAGAAGAUAUUUCUUGGAACAUCCAAAGGUAUGAAGCUCAGUGCGUUUCAGAAGAUGAGACAUCCGAAGUAAUUGCGAAAACAGUGGAAGGUUUGGAAGUUGCUUUCGAAGGCCUGGAAUUUGGCACUGAUUACGAAAUAACUAUCACGCCUUUUGGAUCCAAGCAAUUAAAAGGACAGAGUUCCAUGAUUUUAAUUCAAACUUUAGAUCCAAGAACAGCCAUUUUGGUGACAGUAGAAUCAAACGGAAUAGCUAUCAUUUCAAGUCCACGACUCAUUCAGAAAGGCAGAGGAAAUGAAGAGGUGGAUAUAUCUUUGCAAGAGAUUGAAACCUCUACGAAGAAUGCUGCUUUAAAAGUUAAAGGUACAGUAGAAAAGACAGAAAUAACUGGCCUGAAGCCUGGAACAAAAUAUGCAGUUACUAUGACUCCUGCAAAAGAAACGGGCAAGCCCUUUAACUACAACGCAACCUUCACAGCUUAUCCUUCCUGCGGUGAGAACCGUGUCCAGGAUGGGUUUUUAUGCGUUUGGACUCCCGAGCAAAAAACCACCUGGAAAGAAGCAUUUCAGAUUUGUAAAAACGACGAUGGAGAGCUCUUGGAUUACAAUACGCAGAAAGAAUUAACUGCUCCCGUCAAGGCCCAAUUAGUAUCGCACGUGCAUCAAAGAUUUUGGGUAGACAUAUCCAACGCUGAAAGUCAAAAUCUCGUGAAAGGGGAUGUUGAGCAAUGUGCAGGAGUCGAAACUACAGAUGUAAUGUGUUGUUCCUACGAGCUGGCCGAAGAUGGAGAACUGGAUGAUCUCAAAUGUACUUGCUGUGACGAACCCAGGCCUUUCGCUUGCAAAAGCGUUGCAAAAAUCGAUUUAGGAGAUAUAGGUGAUAUUUUGGUACAAGAUGUGACGAUGACGUCUCUGAAAAUCGGAUGGACAAUGGUAUCCGACACGAACUGGAAGGAAAGGUCCUUCAUGGUCACGUGGGAAUCUACUUCAUCCACUCAGCGUCGGAAAAGAGAAAUCGAAAUUUAUCAGAAAGUUGUAAAAGACACUUCUGCUGUCAUAGAAGACCUGAAACCGGGUACUACGUAUAGAGUAGCUGUGGCACCACAUGCAGAGUCUAUCAUAGCAGAGGAAUCUGGCAAAGAAGUCAUUGUCUCAACAAGAGAAAGAUUCCAGGUGCAUGCUUGUUAUUCUCAAGAUCUCUUGCUGUAUUACUGUGAUAUUAGGUACCGGUUGUACAGUGUUCGUGCUCAUUGCCACAAAGAUGCUGUACCUGGAUUGCUUGGCUCAAAUAUUUUCUGAGAUCUCUACUUUGGCAGCUUAUUUAUGCAUACUUGUAUCUUCUGCUCAUUCGUAUAGUGUUGAUGAAGCAUGUGUAAAUUCUAGCCCAAAGUUAUGUGUGGCCGUCUGUGUUCUUAUUCAAUUCUUCUUCCAAGGAACAUUCCUUUUCCUUCUUUUGGAAAGUGUACGUAUGUGCUCUGUUCUUAAGGAGUUUGUACCUGG
RNAcentral lists this unclassified non-coding RNA (4636 nucleotides) under Stegodyphus dumicola. Its description in RNAcentral is "uncharacterized LOC118197229, transcript variant X3". Lineage: Eukaryota; Metazoa; Arthropoda; Arachnida; Araneae; Eresidae. The record is from RNAcentral.